Long non-coding RNA from Salvelinus sp. IW2-2015, 526 nucleotides. RefSeq lists it as uncharacterized. The transcript has 2 exons. Lineage: Eukaryota; Metazoa; Chordata; Actinopteri; Salmoniformes; Salmonidae. The record is from RefSeq and is a predicted model, not a curated record.
UUGGACACAGUCUCGGAGGGAGGUCCAGCUCUGACUGGCCUGACUGAGUAGAAAAACACACUGCCAUAUCCGCUGCUGUGGUGGAUUCCAUGGAGAACCCCCAAGAUUACAGACCUGGAUUCAAAUGGUCUGGUGAUGUCUGCUGUGUGGAUUCCAUGGAAAGGAAAACCCCCAGGAAUAUAGAUGGAGUGGGCAGUUUGGACUUGCUAAGUCCCACUUUGGACCCCCUCUCUGGGCAAUCCUGGGCAAUCCUUGCUUCCAGAGCCAUCGUCCCUGGAAUAGCCCACUGGGGGUGUUCAAUACCCCACUAAGCAGUGUGUUCAGAGAAGACUCAGGCCAUAGCAAAAGCCUUUCUUACCUGUCAAUCAACACAAUCUCCAAUUGAUCUGCUUCAGGGAGCAACUUUCAGUCCUGUCUCUAUUCUGUUAGUCCAUAAGAGCUAAGGCUAUCUAUAAUGUCUACAUCGGAUUCCAGGGUUCAGUUUAAUCCUAGUGCUGGUACCAGAAAACAUAAAUAAUGCAUCUUC